RNAcentral lists this ribosomal RNA (375 nucleotides) under uncultured organism. Its description in RNAcentral is "partial 16S ribosomal RNA". It matches the Rfam family "Bacterial small subunit ribosomal RNA", at positions 527 to 896 of the family's 1533-position model. The record is from RNAcentral.
GUAGGUGGCAAGCGUUGUCCGGAAUUAUUGGGCGUAAAGCGCGCGCAGGCGGUCCUUUAAGUCUGAUGUGAAAGCCCACGGCUCAACCGUGGAGGGUCAUUGGAAACUGGGGGGACUUGAGUACAGAAGAGGAAAGCGGAAUUCCAAGUGUAGCGGUGAAAUGCGUAGAGAUUUGGAGGAACACCAGUGGCGAAGGCGGCUUUCUGGUCUGUAACUGACGCUGAGGCGCGAAAGCGUGGGGAGCAAACAGGGAUUAGAUACCCUGGUAGUCCACGCCGUAAACGAUGAGUGCUAAGUGUUAGGGGGGUUUCCCGCCCCUUAGUGCUGCAGCUAACGCAUUAAGCACUCCGCCUGGGGAGUACGGCCGCAAGGCUG